GAUGAACGCUGGCGGCGUGCCUAAUACAUGCAAGUCGAACGAACAGAUGAGGAGCUUGCUCCUCUGACGUUAGCGGCGGACGGGUGAGUAACACGUGGAUAACCUACCUAUAAGACUGGGAUAACUUCGGGAAACCGGAGCUAAUACCGGAUAAUAUAUUGAACCGCAUGGUUCAAUAGUGAAAGACGGUUUUGCUGUCACUUAUAGAUGGAUCCGCGCCGCAUUAGCUAGUUGGUAAGGUAACGGCUUACCAAGGCAACGAUGCGUAGCCGACCUGAGAGGGUGAUCGGCCACACUGGAACUGAGACACGGUCCAGACUCCUACGGGAGGCAGCAGUAGGGAAUCUUCCGCAAUGGGCGAAAGCCUGGCGGAGCAACGCCGCGUGAGUGAUGAAGGUCUUCGGAUCGUAAAACUCUGUUAUUAGGGAAGAACAAAUGUGUAAGUAACUAUGCACGUCUUGACGGUACCUAAUCAGAAAGCCACGGCUAACUACGUG
RNAcentral lists this ribosomal RNA (497 nucleotides) under uncultured bacterium. RNAcentral describes it as "partial 16S ribosomal RNA". It matches the Rfam family "Bacterial small subunit ribosomal RNA", at positions 28 to 507 of the family's 1533-position model. The record is from RNAcentral.